Molecule: ribosomal RNA, 253 nt
Filed under: uncultured bacterium
Lineage: Bacteria
Description: partial 16S ribosomal RNA
Rfam family: Bacterial small subunit ribosomal RNA
Source: RNAcentral
UACGAAGGGGGCUAGCGUUGUUCGGAAUUACUGGGCGUAAAGCGCGUGUAGGCGGUUGCCAAAGUCGGGUGUGAAAGCCUUGAGCUCAACUCAAGAAUUGCACUCGAUACUUGGUGACUAGAGGACCGGAGAGGAUAGUGGAAUUCCCAGUGUAGUGGUGAAAUACGUAGAGAUUGGGAAGAACACCAGUGGCGAAGGCGGCUAUCUGGACGGUUUCUGACGCUAAGACGCGAAAGCGUGGGGAGCAAACAGG